AAUGGCCAGGAUCCAAUCAACUCACUCAUCACAGGAAGAUGCAGAAAAAAGUCACAACGCAGAUGAGAGGACAAUCGACAGACACCAACACUGAAAUGAACCGGCGCUGCAAUGUCUGACAAAGACUUUAAAGCAACCAUCAUAAAAAUGCUUCCAUAGCAAUUAUACAUUCUCUUGAAACAAGUGAAAAAUGGAAAAUCUCAGCAAAGAAAUAGAUCCUAUGAAAAAGGACCAAGUGAAAAUGAUAGAAUCAAAAAAGGCAAUAAUUAAAACUUAAAACUUGCUGGAUGGGCUCAAUGGAGUGAAAAUUGCAGAGGAGAGAGAUAUGUAUUUGAGGACAGAUCACUAGAAUUUACCCAACCUGAACAAUGGAGAAGAAAAAAGAUUGAAAGAAACAAAAGCACUGUCUGGGGCACAGCGAAGAGAGGAGCCGACAUUCUUACCCACAGAGUCCCAGAAGGAAAGGAGGCAGCAUGAACUAAAACACCUUUCAAAGCAGAAUGGAUGGACUUCCCAAAUCCUGCAAAUGAAUAAACAAAUAAAUACUCAAGAUACUGAGUGAAUCCAAAAUUGGACAAAUCCAAAGAAAUCCAUGGCAAGGUGUAUAAUAAUUAAACUUCUGAAAAUUAAAAGCAGAGAAAACAUUCUUAAAAGCAGCCAGAAAUGACACUUUACUUACACGGAAAAGCCAAUUCCCAUGACAGGUUAUUUCUCAUCUGAAACCACAGAAGGAAGGAGAAAGCCAGAGCCACGGAAGGAAGAAAAAAACCAGAGGAAGUAACAGAACAUUUCCUAAGCACCAAAGAAAGAAACUGGCAACCAUACAUUUUUAUAUCCCUCAAAAAUCUCCUUCAGGAAUGAGGGAAAAUAAAGACAUUUUAAGAGGAAGAAAAGGUUGUCACUAGCAAAAAUACCUUUAAAUAAUGAAAGAAUUUCUACAAAUAAAAAUGAGGUUGAGCACGGUGGCUCAAGCCUGUAAUCCCAGCACUUUGGGAGGCCAAGGUGGGUGGAUCACGAGGUCAGGAGUUUGAGAUCACCCUGGCCAACACGGUGAAACUCAUCUCUACUAAAAAUACAAAAAAAAAAAACAAAAAAAAA
RNAcentral lists this long non-coding RNA (1098 nucleotides) under Macaca fascicularis (crab-eating macaque). RNAcentral describes it as "lncRNA (ENSMFAG00000052895.1)". The record is from RNAcentral. Lineage: Eukaryota; Metazoa; Chordata; Mammalia; Primates; Cercopithecidae.